Non-coding RNA from Oryza punctata, 205 nucleotides. Lineage: Eukaryota; Viridiplantae; Streptophyta; Magnoliopsida; Poales; Poaceae. The record is from Rfam.
AAUAAGUACAGUUUUGCACUGUUCAUAUUCAACAUUUGACCGUCCGUCUUAUUUUAAAAAAAAUUUUAUGAUUAGUAUUUUUGUUGUUAUUAGAUGAUAAAACAUAAAUAGUACUUUAUGUGUGACUUUUUUUAUUUUUUCAUUAAUUUUUCAAAUAAGACGGAUGGUCAAACAUUGGACACGGAUAUCCACGACUACGCUUAUU